This 590-nucleotide long non-coding RNA is filed under the name Homo sapiens (human). Its description in RNAcentral is "HSALNT0393128". The record is from RNAcentral. Lineage: Eukaryota; Metazoa; Chordata; Mammalia; Primates; Hominidae.
GGCAACCCACUCAGAUUCCGUUUCAUAGUGUGGAGGUUUUGUUCUUUCACUCUGCAGUAAAUCUUACUGCUGCUCAGUGUUUGGGUCUGUGCUACCUUUAUGAGCUGUAACACUCACGGUGGAAGCCUGCAGUCUCACUCCUGAGGCCAGGGAGACCACGAACCCACCAGGAGGAAUGAACAACUCCGGAGGCGCAGACUUAAGAGCUGUAACACUCACCGCGAAGGUCUGUAGUUUCACUUUUGAACCAGCGAGACCAUGAACCCGCCAGAAAGAAAAAACUGCCAACACAGCCGGACAUCAGAAGGAACAAACUGGGGACACGCUGCCUUUAAGAAACAUAACAGGCACCGUGAGGGUCCACGGCUUCAUUCUUGAAGUUAGUGAGACCAAGAACCCACCUAAUCCCGGGCACAAAACCACCUCAAUCUCCCAAAGACCGAAAGCCCUGGUGUCGCUGGGACCAGAGUUCUGGAGGCUGGAUGUCCAAGAUGAAGGCACUGCUAAACUCUGCAUCUGGAGAGGGUGGUUUCCUGAUUCACGGACAAUGUCUCCUCCCUGUGUCCUCACAUGGCCUCUACUCUGUGCGC